This 444-nucleotide ribosomal RNA is filed under the name Pelomonas sp. IGS28. RNAcentral's name for it is "bacterial SSU rRNA". It matches the Rfam family "Bacterial small subunit ribosomal RNA", at positions 22 to 475 of the family's 1533-position model. Lineage: Bacteria; Pseudomonadati; Pseudomonadota; Betaproteobacteria; Burkholderiales; Sphaerotilaceae. The record is from RNAcentral.
GCUCAGAUUGAACGCUGGCGGCAUGCCUUACACAUGCAAGUCGAACGGUAACAGGUUAAGCUGACGAGUGGCGAACGGGUGAGUAAUAUAUCGGAACGUGCCCAGUCGUGGGGGAUAACUGCUCGAAAGAGCAGCUAAUACCGCAUACGACCUGAGGGUGAAAGCGGGGGAUCGCAAGACCUCGCGCGAUUGGAGCGGCCGAUAUCAGAUUAGGUAGUUGGUGGGGUAAAAGCCCACCAAGCCAACGAUCUGUAGCUGGUCUGAGAGGACGACCAGCCACACUGGGACUGAGACACGGCCCAGACUCCUACGGGAGGCAGCAGUGGGGAAUUUUGGACAAUGGACGCAAGUCUGAUCCAGCCAUGCCGCGUGCGGGAAGAAGGCCUUCGGGUUGUAAACCGCUUUUGUCAGGGAAGAAAAGGUUCUGGUUAAUACCUGGGGCUC